Molecule: ribosomal RNA, 480 nt
Filed under: uncultured bacterium
Lineage: Bacteria
Description: partial 16S ribosomal RNA
Rfam family: Bacterial small subunit ribosomal RNA
Source: RNAcentral
GACGAACGCUGGCGGCGCGCUUAACACAUGCAAGUCGAGCGAUGAAACUUUAACAGAACCCUUCGGGGCGAAGAUAAAGUGGUUUAGCGGCGGACGGGUGAGUAACACGUGAGUAACCUUCCUUAGACAUUGGGAUAGUCUCGGUAAACCGGGAUUAAUACCAAAUAAAAUCAUAAUGACACAUGUCAUAACGAUCAAAACUCCGGUGGUCUAAGAUGGACUCGCGUCCCAUUAGCUAGUUGGUAGAGUAAAACCCUACCAAGGCGACGAUGGGUAGCCGGGAUGAGAGGGAGAACGGCGACAAUGGAAAUGAGAAACGGACCAAACUCCUACGGGAGGCAGCAGUGGGGAAUAUUGCAAAAUGGAGGGAACUCUGAUGAAGCGACGCCGGGUGAACGAAGAAGGCUUUCGAGUAGUAAAGUUCUUUUAUAUGGGAAGAUAAUGACGGUACCAUAAGAAAAAGCCCCGGCUAACUACGUG